CUUUCUGUAAGGAUGUUUAGGUUUUAUAUGUACUUUGUCUGAUGUAUAAAACACUUUAUAAACUUUAUCCAUUUAAUUCUGCUACACUGAGCACUCUGCUAUAGGAGCAUUAUCUUCACUUUACAGAUAAGGAGAUUUACAUUCACACAAAGCCAUACUGGAAUUGGGGAGGACCAGGCUCAGGGCUCCAGAUAUGACGAUAACCGCUGUGUGCUUAAGGUGGUAGAUUGUACAGCUCUUUUCCAGCACAACACUGCAGGUCAGGCCAUGGAUUUCCUUUUUUCAAUCUCCUUUUGGUUUCAGAUUGGGUUAAACCUCACUGGAUGUUUACCCUUCAUUUCAGGGAAUAGAACAGGUAAGAUUCUUUAUGAAACAAAAGCAGCUCCAAACUGAAAAGCAGGAAUGUGUCACCCACUACCCACAACUGCAAGCAUAGAUUAGUUCAGAAAUGUGAACUGGACUGGAGGUUUUGCUUUGUAGAGUGAUAUGUUUAUAUGCGAAAGAGGAGGAGAAAAGAGGAGGAAGGUCUGAAGCAUAACAGCUCAUAGAGGGAACUGUGCAAAUGCUUUUCACUAAAUUUUCCCACAACCACAUCUCUGAAGAAAGAGACAAGGAAAGGGAUUCUCGGCUAACUGUUGGUCUGUGUGAAGGACUCCAGUAAAGACCUCAUCUCUGGUGUUUAAGUAGAGCUAAUGUGAGGAGUAAAGAUCAUACAGCAAAAUACAACAUCCAUUAGCUGCUUGCACAUGCAAGGACAAAAAAUCUUUGAUCCCCAAAGAAUACCUUUUUCAUGGGAGUCAGGCUCUCAGUGUAGCUCUCCUCUGUCUCCAGACACAUCACAUGGAGUCUUAAGAUCUUGAAAAUGUCCAGGAAAAAAGGUGCUCCUUGCAUUUUGCCCUGGCAUGUUUUGAAGUGUGCCUGCCCUGAGGAGGUCUUGCAGCUGUGUUUGGGACUUCAUGCUGUACAGAAUGGGAGGGAAUGUCCAUAAGCAGUCGCAGAAGAAGAGCAUGCUGUAGCAGCCUGCUCCCCACACAGGUCUGAUAUACAAAAGCACUUCAUCACUGACCUAAUUUGGGUCCAUUUAAGGUAUGUAGAAAGAAAUCCUAUUGACCUAAUUACAAGUAAAGUUUAUCACUGCCAGGUGCUUUUAAACACGUCACUCUAUUCAUAGAAUCACUGAGGUUGGAAAAGAUCCCUAACAUCAUCUAGUCUAACCGUCCAUCUACCACCAAUUUUGCCCACUAAAUUAUGUCCCUAAGUACCACAUCUAACAUUUCCUUAAACAUGUCCAGGGAUAGUGACUCCACCACUUCCCUGGACAGCCUGUUCCAAUGCCUGACUUCUCUUUCUGAGAAAAAACUCUUCCUAAUAUCCAACCUGAACCUCCUGUUGUGCGACUUGAGGCCAUUGCUUCUUGUCCUAUCUCUGUCACCUGGUAGAAGAGACUGACCCCCACCUUGCCACAACCGCCUUUCAGGUAGCUAUAGAAGGUAAUAAGAUCUCCCCUGAGCCUUCUCUUCUCCGGACUAAACAAUCCCAGUUCCCUCAGCCACUUUCCAUAAGACGUAUGAUCCAGUCCUCUCACCAGCUUUGUUGCCUUUCUCUGAACAUGCUCCAGGGCCUCAAUGUCUUUCUUGUCGUGAGGGUCCCAAAACUGAACACAGUACUCGAGGUGCAGCCUCACCAGAGCUGAGAGCAGGGGGAUGAUCACCUCUGAUCACCUCUGAUACAAACCUUUUUGGCUACCUGAGUACACUGUGGACCAGCACUGCCAGAUUCUUUUCCUCUGUUCAGCUUUCCAGUCACUCUGCCCCAAGCCUGUAGCUUUGCAUGGGGUUUUUGUGACCAAAGUGCAGGACUCAGCACUUGGUCUUGUUGAACUUUAUUCCAUUGGCCUCAGCCCAUCAAUCCAGCCUGUCCAGGUCCCUCUGUAGGGCCUUCCUACCCUCAGGCACUUCCUCCCAACUUUGUGUCGUUUGCCAGCUUACUUAAGAGUGCACUCAAUUCCCUCACCCAAUUCAUCCUAAUCAAUAAAGAUAUCAAACAGGAUGGACCCCAAUACCAAACCCUGAGGAACAUAGCUUCUAUCUUGAUAAUAUGCCCAUACAUUCAGGUAUUAACCUUAGGCAUAUAUACUCAGAUCCUUCUGGCGUCAGGAGCCAAAAGCUGUUGCUGAUGACACAGCACAGCCCCUGGAACCAAGCCUGGCUAUUUUGGUGCUACUGCAGUGCAGGUCUGUUCCAGGUGACAUUGUUGUGCUGGUCCUGGUGGGAUCUGUGGUUGGGAUGUGCUGUGUGACUCAGCCCAGCAGACAGCAGCUGCUCUGACACCUUGGCUACAGCACACUGUGGUGUCUAAAGAGCUGCUCUUGAUCAAUAACUUUCCUCCCCAUCUCUGUGAGCAGCAGGGUGGGAGAGGGAAUAAUCUGCCUCAGAAAGUGUCUCACUGCUCUGCUUAGCUGAGGGGUUUAAUUUCCAUUGUUUGUCUCCUGUGUCUCUUUCUGUUCUUGAUAGAUUUCCCCAGCCUCACUGAUGCUAAUCUCAUUGUCCAGGAAUCAGCAAAGGGUAAUUAGCCUCUGUGAUAAUGAUCUAUCUGUCACAAGAUCAUGCCCUCUCAUUGCACACAAUCUCGGAUGUUGUCUAACCUAGCACAGGAGUACGGAGCACAGCCAUGCACAGAGCUUAACCAAAAAGAAGCAGAAGCCCUUGCUGGGGAAGCAUGGAUGUUGCUCCACCAAUUCUGAAACAGAAAAAAACCAAAUCAUUUGUGAAGAGGUAAAAACAAUGUUAAUUUAGUAAAAAUAUUUUUAAAUGUUUUUCUUUGUGAGGCAGCUAAAACCACAGCCAGUCGCGUGUCUUGGAAAUUGCUACUAAUCAAAUUGUGUCCAUUUUCCCCAGCAAAAUGCUUUCUGCCCUGCUGUUUGUCAUGUCUUGUUACUUCUGAUUAUACUGUUUGAGACUUAUGCCUUGACUUAUAUAGAACAGCACUGUUAUCUCAGCAAAGCUGGUACUUGUUUCUUUAUGGCCACUUUUUGGCAUCCAGUGGUGCAAGUUCGUCCUUUUGUUUGUACAGUGCUCAGUUCAACUGAUGUGGUAUUUAAAUGUGAGUUGUAAAUGAGUCAGGCACCCUGUUUCAUACAGAGCCUUGCCCUGUCCUCCCUGCAAUGACAAGGUUGCUUGUAAAUGGGAACUUGCUCAUACUGGUGUCUGAGACAGCAGUGAGCAGUGUGACCAUCAGGAGAACAGCACUAAGCCAGUCAUUUCAAUUAUCUACAGUGGGUUUCUAUUUGAAUUUCACACACGUUUAAAUUGUUAUGCUAUCAGCAGGGUGUGCUCCUGUGCUCCCUAAUUCUUUUUUUUUUUUUUUUUUUUUUUUUUUUUUUUUUUUUUUUUGCAAUGAUUGUAUUUCACGUAUGAUGAAGAACUUCAAGGAAGAACUUUACUGUGAGGGUGAGUACUGGAGCAGGCUGACCAGAGAGGUUGUGUAGUCUCCUGCUCUGGAGAUAUUCAAGACCCGCCUGGACACUUUCCUGUGUAACCUGCUUUAGCAGGGCAUUGGACUAGAUGUCUCCAGAGUCCCUUCCAGCUCCUAUGUUUCUGUGAUAUUUGUGUGCUUCUACAUGUGUACGAUGAAGACAUGAAGACCCAUGAGAUGAGCUCUGGGUCAGGGCUGUAGUUCACCAGGAGAUGAGACAAGGCUGAGAUGAGAACAAAUAACAAUAAUAAGAGCAAUGCUAGUAAUGAGUUAACAUAGUAAAGUGGAAGACUGUGAACUUGUUUUCUUGUGCUUAUGCUACAGUCUUUGAAACCACUGAAGACAUAUGAAAUGCAAAGAAAUAUGAAAGAAAUCUGUCAUUUUUGGUUCAUCCCAGAAAUUAUAAUUUCAAGAGAUAGUAGAAUUAUUUUAUGUUGUGGACAGUUUAAAAUAUAAUGGAAAUGGGAUUUCUUUAAGUUGCCAGGGGUGCAUUAGCAGCUGCUAGUGUGAUGUGUGAUGCCUGAUAAUGUACAUGGAGGAUCAGGGGGAAAAAUCCCAACCUUCAGCCUCGGGAGAUCCUGAGGUAGCUGCCAGUGCUGCAUGUGUGCUGCCCCUGGCAGCUCAGGACAGAACCCCUGCCUUGCUUCAUAAGGAUCCUCCUUGCUUCCUUGGGAUGCCUUGGGGAGCAGCCUGGCUCCUUGGCAUGGCAGCUGGAGCAUCCUCUUCUUGUUCUGUACCUGUAAAAUAAUUCAGGGCACCGCCUGCAGAGAAGCACUGUGCUGGGAAGGCAAUGAGGAGACUCUCCAUGGCCCUUUGCUUGAGGGCAGGAUUUGCCUCUGCAUUUCUCUCUGCUAUCAUCUAGCUAUAAAACACAGGAAAUAAUCUUUUCCUAUGUCAUAGGGAUAUAGGCAGCUCAAUUAAAGUUUAUGAAGCAUGAUCUGAAAUUCUUGGAACCAGAGCAUUGUGGAUAUGCAAAGCAGGACUUUAAGUUAUUCAUUACUGUUUAUUAUACUUUGCAUCUAUUUUUUUUUUCCUAGAACAGAGGCCUGAUCAAGAAAUAUAUCUGACUUCCUGAGAAUUAGCAUGAUUUUGAGGAGAAAUGUGGUAAUUAUUAUUUAUACAUUAUAGUCUCCUUAGCACAUCAUUUCAUCCACAUACCUAGAAUAAGUUAUAUGGAACUGGAUGGUAGGAUUUUGUGCUAGGAUUUCUUUCCAGUUCCGAAAAAAUGUGAUGCUCAUGUCUACUUUUUCUAGUGAGGUACGCUUAAAGGUAUUUUGUGAUGUAACAUCUAUUUUUUCUGUUGACAGUGAUUUGUUUCUGGUCACAUAAAAUAUCUUCUAGCAUGGAUCUGACAAUGAACAUUAAGGAUUUGUUUACUAAUGAUUUAGAAAAGAAGAUUUACUCUGCUUUAAAGGCAUCUAGAAAGACUCAUUUGGUUGGAUUAGAGAUAGUAAGAAAGAAAUAAUACUCAAAGCCCAGUAUUUAAUACAUCAGUGUCACAAAAGAAAAGAGUAACUGACAAAACAGGAUGCAAUAACUGUAAGGCUACUGGUUGCCUGCUUAAAUGGUUGAGCUAAAAGAGUGGUAAACAGAGCCCACCUGCCCAUCCUUUCUUUGCUUUUCAGAAAGCCCAGAAAUGGAAGCUUUGAAUUUUGCCAGUUCUCUGCCCCAUCCCACUGUGAAGAUGAGGAGUGAGGGAAUGACUGUGUAGUUCUGAGCCAUCUGAGGAGUUAAACUGCAAAGCAAUGACAGCUUAGGGACAACAGAAGCCCUCAGAGAGCUUGGCCAUGUUUUCACAUCACUCUUCAUUGCAUCAGCUACCUGUUCUCCCUGCAGAAAACCUCCAGAAGUCAUCUGUGACAUCUUCUGCAGCUUUUUGAUCUCCUGAGAUGUGAGAGGGAUCCUGGCUGAAGGGCUUGCAGCUUUGAGAUGAGGCAGGCACAUAUGAGACAAGGCAGCCACCUCUGUUGAUCCCUCAUCCUCAUGCAUGGUAGUAAGGAAGAAAGCUAUGAAUUACAAAUUUUGAAUUUUGCUCUGGGUGUGGACUCACUGGUGGUCAUGAGUGAGGACCUCAGGUGCUUCUAGGCUGGAAGGGAAGAAUGGGACCAGAUGUACACCAGGCAGUCAAAGCGGUCGAAGCUCUGUACACCCACAGCUUGCUGGUGAGCACUGGGUUUUGAAAAUGGAGGAAGGUAAAGAGAGAACUAAUGCAGGUAGGCUGUGGCUGUUGUACGUGUGGCCAUGUGUUCCUGGUUCCUCCCUGUAUUCUCUCUAGUGAAUCUUGCUUCCUGGUUCAGUGUUUUCGUAAUAAUGGCAUAUUAAUAACUACGUAACCCACUGUCUUCUCUAUCCUUGACUCAGUUCCCAGAAGCCCCACUCCUUCCCAUCCCUUCAUGCCCCUCCCUGCCACCAUGAGAGAUGAACAGAAGCAGGCUCUCCUUCUGUAUCUCUGGCUCAGGUGACCUUUCCACAGCUGCCACUUUGAACCUGCCUCAUGGAGGGGGCUUGUGCCCCUUGUGCUCUGCUGCUCUAGGGGAGCGAGACUUGGCUCCAGCAGGCUCACAAGUACACCCCUGUAGAGAGGAGCAGGGAUAAAUGGAGGAUUAACCGCAGCUAUGGGUCUGCCGUCAAAAUGUCUAGAAAGCCUAUUUUUUAAACAACCUGAUUGCAUGUAGGAGUAAUUUCAGUGGCCUGUACUUCUUAGCUCUUUUUUUGUAUUUUGUGGUAUGUGUCAGUGAACAGAACUUAAUAAUACUUCACCCAUAUGAACCUCUGUGAUUGCAUGCAGUUUCAGCAGAAAAACAAAAUUAAUUCUCUCACUUCACAGUAGUUUUUUGGAUAAUAAGCUGACCUUUUGCAUUUAUUUUGUACAUAGAAAACACUACUAAUUCAUUAAGAUAGGGAUCUGCAGAUUAACAUUUUAAGUGUUACUGAAAACAACAAAUUAUGUUAUUUAUAGAGAUUUGAAAUUAUACCUAUUUGAGGCUGCGAGUGCACAAAAUUUAAAACAUAAGAAUAAAAAUAUCUGCCACAGAAGAUUCAAAUCUUACAGGUUUCUACAAUUUACAUAAUGUGAAAAGCAACAACAGCAAUGCUCAUGAAGAAUGCAGAUGAUGUAUAACAGAGUUGGUUCUUACUCUGAUUGCAAACCAACCAUUAAGUCACUACCAGUCUAUUGCUUUAGUUUAAAAAACCAUUAUGUAGAUGAAAUAUACUUGCUUUCAGGUAAUUCUUUUAAUGAUUAAUUUUGCUGGUAUAUCACCAUGAGAUGUCACAGUAUGAUGAUAAUUAGUAAAUAUAAUAAAACAGUAGCUAAAUGUAACAAAUGAUAUUAUAAGUAGAUCAACACUGGUUUUCUAUGAGAGACGCUGUUGAGGUUUGUCCAAAGAUUCAAUAUCGUUUUUAAUUUUUACUAUUAAAUAAUUGGUGCAGCUUGAAAGAGAGAAAUUUCUAGAGAUGGGAGUUACAUUCAUUGUCAUAAUCAACUCCAAGUACUCGUCAUUGACUGCUCUGGGAUAUUUUGGCUCACAGGGCAGCAUUAAGGCCAAUGUUUGCACCUUUAUCUCAGUUGCUGGAAUUCUCUGGUACGCACUUUCUAUUAGGAAAGGUCUAGAUACACUGAAACAUAGCACAUUUGUAAAGCAGAUGAAGAAACUAGUCAGGAGGUUUGCUGACAGCAAAUUUUGUUUAGCUAGUUUUACUAUAAGCAAUUUACUCUACAUGUGCAUUUCUGCAUUCAAAUUGUUCUUUAUUAAGAUCCUUCCCUAAUAAUAUAAAAAUGUGUUUAUAAAGCCUGUAAGUGGUUUCUGUAAUAAGAUUUUUAAUGAGUUGGAAUAUUAAAUUAAGUUUUGUAGAAAUGCUUGAGGUGUUGUUAUAACUAACUUACAAACUGUACACCAUUAACUUUAUCAUAUAGAGUAAUUUUGGUUUCUAUUCAAGCAAUAUACAGCUCCGAAAUACUAACUGUCAGAUACUUUACACUGCAAAUGGAAUUUUGCUGACUAUUUAGCAAUAAUGUCUGUGGUUAUGAUAUCUGAGCCCCACAGGGAGAGCAAUUCAGCUGGUUGGUCAACCUGGGGGUGGGCUGCAUUGUCAGGUUGUGCGCUCCGUGCUGGGUGGCAUAAAGCAGAGCAGCCCAGAAGCACCACAGGCUGCUUAGCUGGCACUUGACAGAGACUGUCUGGCUCUCUGGGGUUUACAUUCUCUCCCCUUUGCUUACAUCUGGGUUUCCUUAAAAGUAAGAAAAUGUGCAGAGAUCCCCAAACAUUUACUGUCUCAAUGGCCAGUGCACAGCAGACGAAGCAUAGCUAACCUUAAGCUGCUCAUGUUUAAAUAAAAGUGAUUAAUGAGAUUGCAGAACAAGCAGCAAACUCAGAGUUUUUCAGUUGUGUUUUUGCACUCUAUAGUUAAUACAAAAUCAUCUAACAUAAGAUGUAUAACUUAGACUAUGGUUCUUCCUUACCCCCACCUUUUUUAAAACUUCUACUGAUAGUACAGGGAACUCAUGCUCCUAACUUUUGAAAGGCAGGUCUUCCAGAACAACUGAUUUUUGCUUGUAAGCUGCUGCCCUCUUUGCUCCUGGCAAAAAUGCUGCGUGUUGAUGCAGAUGAUGGUGUAACUAGGACCCGUAUAAGUCUUAUCAUCCAAGCAAAUAUGCCUUUGCCAUAAUGGGCAAUAUUUUUCAUGACCUGAUAGAUGAGGGAUAGAUGAGUUGUGCAGCUCUCCACUGUUUGGACAAGAGGCCAUCAGCAGCUGAGGAGUGAAACAGUGCAUCACACCUCAUGUGGAUGGCAGGAGUUCUCUAAAACGGAUGAUAUGGCUACUUUUCUUAGAGGUCUUUAACUUCAUUUGUAAAUCUACGGAUGCUUUUUGUUUCUUAUUCACAUUUUACUUCACCUUAUAUACUCUUCAUCUACUUUCUCACUUCUUAUCCUUUUGACUUAUUCAAGGUUUGUCAUAUCUCAGAGUGGCAGGUCAGUGAAAAAGCUCCCACUGAGUUGGAAGAAAAUGUGUUUUGUCAUUAUUUUGAUUUUGACUUUGAGAAGUUUGAACUGGUAUAAGACAAGCUCUGCUCUUCCAAACCCUGGUGCUGUGACAGUGGACCAGUGACAACAGCUUAUCCUGUCUCAACUCCUUCAUCUUCAAAAUGAUGGUGAGGAUAUGUACCUCUGUCAAGUGCUAGGAGAAGAAAAAGCAGCAUUAUAAAUAAAACCAAAGCAUUACUGUGAUCUAUUGUGUAGAUUUAGUAUCCAGCAUUAGUUGAAGUUUCUCACCCCAGGGAAGCAUGGAGCUGCUGGCCACGUAAGCUGGAAAGUGAAAAGCUAUCUGUCACUCUGGCAAGUUGUGCAUCCCAAGUGGAGACAGCAGCACAUAGAAAAAACACGACAUGCCAUAGGGAUGGCAAUGACUUUCUUGUUUCAAGCAGAAUCUGGUUAAGGUAUACUGUUAUUACUGCUUGCUUUAAAUUAAAAUACAUUAAAUGCUGCCAGUAAACUGAGAGCUGGCAGCAUUGAGAAACACGAAGCUGCUGCUGAAUAUUCUGCAAGGCUAACUGCAGUUAUUGAGGGACUUACCAUUGCAGCAAAUGGGCUGCAACAUCAGAUUUUAAGAUACUGGGGUAGUGCUGUUAAGCUGUGGUGCAUCUCAGAUGUGCUGCCUCUCCUCAUGAGAUUGACG
This 9150-nucleotide long non-coding RNA is filed under the name Gallus gallus (chicken). RNAcentral describes it as "lncRNA (ENSGALG00010024355.1)". The record is from RNAcentral. Lineage: Eukaryota; Metazoa; Chordata; Aves; Galliformes; Phasianidae.